Molecule: ribosomal RNA, 497 nt
Filed under: uncultured bacterium
Lineage: Bacteria
Description: partial 16S ribosomal RNA
Rfam family: Bacterial small subunit ribosomal RNA
Source: RNAcentral
GAUGAACGCUGGCGGCGUGCCUAAUACAUGCAAGUCGAGCGAACAGAUAAGGAGCUUGCUCCUUUUACGUUAGCGGCGGACGGGGGAGUAACACGUGGGUAACCUACCUAUAAGACUGGGAUAACUUCGGGAAACCGGAGCUAAUACCGGAUAACAUUUGGAACCGCAUGGUUCUAAAGUGAAAGAUGGUUUUGCUAUCACUUAUAGAUGGAGCCGCGCCGUAUUAGCUAGUUGGUAAGGUAACGGCUUACCAAGGCGACGAUACGUAGCCGACCUGAGAGGGUGAUCGGCCACACUGGAACUGAGACACGGUCCAGACUCCUACGGGAGGCAGCAGUAGGGAAUCUUCCGCAAUAGGCGAAAGCCUGACGGAGCAACGCCGCGUGAGUGAUGAAGGGUUUCGGCUCGUAAAACUCUGUUAUUAGGGAAGAACAAAUGUGUAAGUAACUGUGCACGUCUUGACGGUACCUAAUCAGAAAGCCACGGCUAACUACGUG